Long non-coding RNA from Pollicipes pollicipes, 301 nucleotides. RefSeq lists it as uncharacterized. The transcript has 3 exons. The record is from RefSeq and is a predicted model, not a curated record. NCBI's taxonomy places the organism in Eukaryota, Metazoa, Arthropoda, Thecostraca, Pollicipedomorpha, Pollicipedidae.
CAGGCGUGAUCUGAGGCCCAGUGCAGCGGUUCUGUUGCAGGGGUCAGCACGUCGGCCAGUGUCCAGCAAGUACUUCGGCGGUGGGUGGAGACUGCCGACUUCUGACUGCUGCUCACCGCUGCUAUCUCAAUCUUCAGCAGCGGCAGAAGCUGCUGAGCGGACAACAUGCGAGGACACUUGCUGUUGGUGCUGGUGGCUACGCUGACUGCAGGCGGCCCGGCGACCGAAGCACACCCAGCUGGCCCGGCGUCAGGCACGCAGACGGACCAUGCAGACGCGCGUCACCCGACUGACAUCCAGG